UAGGGAAUCUUGGACAAUGGGGGAAACCCUGAUCCAGCCAUGCCGCGUGAGUGAUGAAGGCCUUCGGGUUGUAAAACUCUUUCGCGCACGACGAUAAUGACGGUAGUGCGAGAAGAAGCUCCGGCUAACUUCGUGCCAGCAGCCGCGGUAAUACGAAGGGGGCUAGCGUUGUUCGGAAUUACUGGGCGUAAAGCGCGCGCAGGCGGCUUUUCAAGUCAGGGGUGAAAGCCCGGAGCUCAACUCCGGAACUGCCUCUGAGACUGUAAAGCUUGAGUACGGGAGAGGUGAGUGGAAUUCCGAGUGUAGAGGUGAAAUUCGUAGAUAUUCGGAAGAACACCGGUGGCGAAGGCGGCUCACUGGCCCGUUACUGACGCUCAGGCGCGACAGCGUGGGGAGCAAACAGGAUUAGAUACCCCCGUAGUCC
Molecule: ribosomal RNA, 424 nt
Filed under: uncultured bacterium
Lineage: Bacteria
Description: bacterial SSU rRNA
Rfam family: Bacterial small subunit ribosomal RNA
Source: RNAcentral